RNAcentral lists this ribosomal RNA (398 nucleotides) under Firmicutes bacterium enrichment culture. Its description in RNAcentral is "bacterial SSU rRNA". It matches the Rfam family "Bacterial small subunit ribosomal RNA", at positions 359 to 774 of the family's 1533-position model. Lineage: Bacteria; Bacillati; Bacillota. The record is from RNAcentral.
GAAUUUUGCGCAAUGGGGGCAACCCUGACGCAGCGACGCCGCGUGGGUGAUGAAGGCCUUCGGGUUGUAAAGCCCUGUCUGGGGGGAAGAUAGUGACGGUACCCCCGGAGGAAGCCCCGGCUAACUACGUGCCAGCAGCCGCGGUAAUACGUAGGGGGCGAGCGUUGUCCGGAAUUAUUGGGCGUAAAGGGCGUGUAGGCGGCCUGGCAAGUCGGCUGUGAAAUCCCCCGGCUCAACCGGGGAGUGGCAGUCGAAACUGUUGGGCUUGAGUGCAGGAGAGGAGGGUGGAAUUCCUGGUGUAGCGGUGAAAUGCGUAGAUAUCAGGAGGAACACCGGUGGCGAAGGCGACCUUCUGGCCUGUUACUGACGCUGAGGCGCGAAAGCCAGGGGAGCGAACA